CCUACGGUUGGCAGCAGUGAGGAAUAUUGGUCAAUGGGCGUAAGCCUGAACCAGCCAAGCCGCGUGAGGGAUGAAGGUUCUAUGGAUCGUAAACCUCUUUUAUACGGGAAUAACUUGAGGGACGCGUCACUUUUUGUAUGUACCUUAUGAAUAAUGAUCGGCUCACUCCGUGCCAGCAGCCGCGGUAAUACGGCGGAUCCUAGCGUUAUCCGGAUUUAUUGGGUUUAAAGGGUGCGUAGGUGGCGUUUUAAGUCAGCUGUUAAAGUCUGUGGCUCAACCAUAGAAUUGCAGUUGAAACUGGUAGGCGUGAGUGUGUUAGAGGUAGGCGGAAUGCGUGGUGUAGCGGUGAAAUGCGUAGAGAUCAGGAAGAACGCCGAUGGCGAAGGCAGUAU
Molecule: ribosomal RNA, 392 nt
Filed under: uncultured bacterium
Lineage: Bacteria
Description: partial 16S ribosomal RNA
Rfam family: Bacterial small subunit ribosomal RNA
Source: RNAcentral